RNAcentral lists this ribosomal RNA (1441 nucleotides) under uncultured organism. Its description in RNAcentral is "SSU rRNA". It matches the Rfam family "Bacterial small subunit ribosomal RNA". The record is from RNAcentral.
UCAGGAUGAACGCUAGCGACAGGCUUAACACAUGCAAGUCGAGGGGCAGCACAGGUAGCAAUACCGGGUGGCGACCGGCGCACGGGUGAGUAACGCGUAUGCAACUUGCCUAUCAGAGGGGGAUAACCCGGCGAAAGUCGGACUAAUACCGCAUGAAGCAGGGAUCCCGCAUGGGAAUAUUUGCUAAAGAUUCAUCGCUGAUAGAUAGGCAUGCGUUCCAUUAGGCAGUUGGCGGGGUAACGGCCCACCAAACCGACGAUGGAUAGGGGUUCUGAGAGGAAGGUCCCCCACAUUGGUACUGAGACACGGACCAAACUCCUACGGGAGGCAGCAGUGAGGAAUAUUGGUCAAUGGCCGAGAGGCUGAACCAGCCAAGUCGCGUGAGGGAUGAAGGUUCUAUGGAUCGUAAACCUCUUUUAUAAGGGAAUAAAGUGCGGGACGUGUCCCGUUUUGUAUGUACCUUAUGAAUAAGGAUCGGCUAACUCCGUGCCAGCAGCCGCGGUAAUACGGAGGAUCCGAGCGUUAUCCGGAUUUAUUGGGUUUAAAGGGUGCGUAGGCGGCCUUUUAAGUCAGCGGUGAAAGUCUGUGGCUCAACCAUAGAAUUGCCGUUGAAACUGGGGGGCUUGAGUAUGUUUGAGGCAGGCGGAAUGCGUGGUGUAGCGGUGAAAUGCAUAGAUAUCACGCAGAACCCCGAUUGCGAAGGCAGCCUGCCAAGCCAUUACUGACGCUGAUGCACGAAAGCGUGGGGAUCAAACAGGAUUAGAUACCCUGGUAGUCCACGCAGUAAACGAUGAUCACUAGCUGUUUGCGAUACACUGUAAGCGGCACAGCGAAAGCGUUAAGUGAUCCACCUGGGGAGUACGCCGGCAACGGUGAAACUCAAAGGAAUUGACGGGGGCCCGCACAAGCGGAGGAACAUGUGGUUUAAUUCGAUGAUACGCGAGGAACCUUACCCGGGUUUGAACGCAUUCGGACCGAGGUGGAAACACCUUUUCUAGCAAUAGCCGUUUGCGAGGUGCUGCAUGGUUGUCGUCAGCUCGUGCCGUGAGGUGUCGGCUUAAGUGCCAUAACGAGCGCAACCCUUGCCACUAGUUACUAACAGGUAAAGCUGAGGACUCUGGUGGGACUGCCAGCGUAAGCUGCGAGGAAGGCGGGGAUGACGUCAAAUCAGCACGGCCCUUACAUCCGGGGCGACACACGUGUUACAAUGGCGUGGACAAAGGGAGGCCACCUGGCGACAGGGAGCGAAUCCCCAAACCACGUCUCAGUUCGGAUCGGAGUCUGCAACCCGACUCCGUGAAGCUGGAUUCGCUAGUAAUCGCGCAUCAGCCAUGGCGCGGUGAAUACGUUCCCGGGCCUUGUACACACCGCCCGUCAAGCCAUGGGAGCCGGGGGUACCUGAAGUCCGUAACCGAAAGGAUCGGCAUAGGGUAAAACUGGU